GAAGUUCGCCAGGCAGCCGCUGGAUGCCAACGCAAAUGCGGCAUCUGGAGGAAAGUCCGGGCCCCGCAGAGCAGGAUGCCGGCUAACGGCCGGGCACUGUGAAGUGACGGAAAGUGCAACAGAAAGAUACCGCCGAUGGCUCGCCCUGACUUUGCCGCCGCAAGGCAGCAAGGUUUCCCUUGAGUGGGGAGGGCAGCACAGGUAAGGGUGAAAUGGUGGAGUAAGAGCCCACCGCGUUUCUGGUAACAGAAAUGGCACGGCAAACCCCAUCCGGGGCAAGGCCAAAUAGGGGAGCAUUGGCGUGGCUCGCGUCGCUCCCGGGUAGGCUGCUAGAGGCCGUUGGCAACAACGGUCCCAGAGGAAUGGCUGCCCACGACAGAACCCGGCUUAUCGGCGAACUUCCCAC
This 406-nucleotide RNase P RNA is filed under the name Rugosibacter sp. RNAcentral describes it as "RNase P RNA component class A". It matches the Rfam family "Bacterial RNase P class A". From Rfam's summary of the family: Ribonuclease P (RNase P) is a ubiquitous endoribonuclease, found in archaea, bacteria and eukarya as well as chloroplasts and mitochondria. Lineage: Bacteria; Pseudomonadati; Pseudomonadota; Betaproteobacteria; Nitrosomonadales; Sterolibacteriaceae. The record is from RNAcentral.